GUAAGGAAUAUUGGUCAAUGGAGGCAACUCUGAACCAGCCAUGCCGCGUGCAGGAAGACGGCCCUAUGGGUUGUAAACUGCUUUUAUACGGGAAUAAACCUCUCUACGUGUAGGGAGUUGAAUGUACUGUAAGAAUAAGGAUCGGCUAACUCCGUGCCAGCAGCCGCGGUAAUACGGAGGAUCCAAGCGUUAUCCGGAUUUAUUGGGUUUAAAGGGUGCGUAGGCGGCCUAUUAAGUCAGGGGUGAAAGACGGUGGCUCAACCAUCGCAGUGCACUUGAUAGUGAUGGGCUUGAUGACACUUGAGGUAGGCGGAAUGUGACAAGUAGCGGUGAAAUGCAUAGAUAUGUCACAGAACACCAAUUGCGAAGGCAGCUUACUAAGGUGUCAAUGACGCUGAGGCACGAAAGCGUGGGGAUCAAACAGGAUUAGAUACCCGUGUAGUCC
RNAcentral lists this ribosomal RNA (445 nucleotides) under uncultured bacterium. RNAcentral describes it as "partial 16S ribosomal RNA". It matches the Rfam family "Bacterial small subunit ribosomal RNA", at positions 354 to 796 of the family's 1533-position model. The record is from RNAcentral.